UGGGGAAUUUUGGACAAUGGGCGAAAGCCUGAUCCAGUAAUGCCGCGUGUGUGAAGAAGGCCUUCGGGUUGUAAAGCACUUUUGUCCGGAAAGAAAUCCUUGGCUCUAAUACAGUCGGGGGAUGACGGUACCGGAAGAAUAAGCACCGGCUAACUACGUGCCAGCAGCCGCGGUAAUACGUAGGGUGCAAGCGUUAAUCGGAAUUACUGGGCGUAAAGCGUGCGCAGGCGGUUUGCUAAGACCGAUGUGAAAUCCCCGGGCUCAACCUGGGAACUGCAUUGGUGACUGGCAGGCUAGAGUAUGGCAGAGGGGGGUAGAAUUCCACGUGUAGCAGUGAAAUGCGUAGAGAUGUGGAGGAAUACCGAUGGCGAAGGCAGCCCCCCUGGGCCAAUACUGACGCUCAUGCACGAAAGCGUGGGGAGCAAACAGGAUUAGAUACCCUGGUAGUCCACGCCCUAAAACGAUGUCAACUAGUUGUUGGGGGAUUCAUUUCCUUAGUAACGUAGCUAACGCGUGAAGUUGACCGCCUGGGGGAGUACGGUCGCAAGAUUAAAAACUUAAAGGAAUUGACGGGGUCAUAGCUGUUUCCU
Molecule: ribosomal RNA, 590 nt
Filed under: uncultured bacterium
Lineage: Bacteria
Description: partial 16S ribosomal RNA
Rfam family: Bacterial small subunit ribosomal RNA
Source: RNAcentral